CCUACGUGAGGCAGCAGUGAGGAAUAUUGGUCAAUGGCCGUAAGGCUGAACCAGCCAAGUAGCGUGAGGGAUGACUGCCCUAUGGGUUGUAAACCUCUUUUAUGCGGGGAUAAAGGUGUCCACGUGUGGCUGUUUGCAGGUACUGCAUGAAUAAGGACCGGCUAAUUCCGUGCCAGCAGCCGCGGUAAUACGGAGGAUCCGGGCGUUAUCCGGAUUUAUUGGGUUUAAAGGGAGCGUAGGCGGGUCUUUAAGCUUGCCGUGAAAUUUUGUGGCUCAACCGUAAGAGUGCGGCUGAUACUGGAUGCCUUGAGUGCGCGUGAGGCAGGCGGAAUUCGUGGUGUAGAGGUGAAAUGCUUAGAUAUCACGAAGAACCCCGAUUGCGAAGGCAGCCUGCUACAGCGUUACUGACGCUGAUGCUCGAAAGCGUGGGUAUCGAACAGGAUUAGAUACCCGUGUAGUC
RNAcentral lists this ribosomal RNA (460 nucleotides) under uncultured bacterium. Its description in RNAcentral is "partial 16S ribosomal RNA". It matches the Rfam family "Bacterial small subunit ribosomal RNA", at positions 338 to 795 of the family's 1533-position model. The record is from RNAcentral.